Epinephelus fuscoguttatus (brown-marbled grouper) is the source of this 702-nucleotide long non-coding RNA. RefSeq lists it as uncharacterized. The record is from RefSeq and is a predicted model, not a curated record. The transcript is spliced from 3 exons. NCBI's taxonomy places the organism in Eukaryota, Metazoa, Chordata, Actinopteri, Perciformes, Serranidae.
GUUUAACCACAAUGGUUACAACCGUGUUCACAGUCAAGAGCGACAGCAGAGCGGAUGUCUGCUGAGUAAACACCGUGUUGUUGACUGCUGUCACAGUUUUGUAACUGUACAACAGGGUCGCAGUAGACGGCAACCCAAACAGCUGACAGUUGCACAGAAAGAGGAAGGCAGAGGCUUGAGAGUCCCAAAAGUGUCGGCAUCAGAGCUUCUCUGAAAACUGUGUAAAAGGAGUGGACAUAGCCACUGUGACAUCAUGCCUUUGUUUGUGGACUACAGUUUUGAAGCCACAAGUUGGGCAUUUUGGCCGUCGCCACCUUGGUGUGUUGGAUCCAGAAGUGACCAUAUUCGGAUGACAGGGUGGAGCUGUGGUGGAUCUCACUGAGAACCCAAUCACAAGGUAGCGACACCCUAAAGCAUACCCUACUUUAUUGUUAUUUUACUUUAAAUGGGACCAUAAUUUACAAAAUGAACAUGCUGUUGGUUAAAUACUCAAAACUAGUGAUUUAGACCAUAAACCGCUUUAGAAAAUGUUUACUGAGGUAAUAAAUCAAGUGAAAAGCAGGAGCAUUUUGUCACAGGGCCUUUGCCAAACUGGACUCCCACUCCGUCAUGGAGUGUAACUUUGUUUGUAGUCACCUUCACAGCUGAAUGAAGCACCCUUCAUUAAGGUGUAGGGUAUAAAUACAGUGACAAGCUUUGGGA